AAAACGGGUGGUAAUGCCGGAUGCUCCGACUCCUCGCAUGGGGUGUCGGGAAAGAUUUCAUCGGUAUGGGAUGGGGUCGCGUCCUAUCAGGUAGUCGGCGGGGUAACGGCCCACCGAGCCUACGACGGGUAGCCGGCCUGAGAGGGCGACCGGCCACAUUGGGACUGAGAUACGGCCCAGACUCCUACGGGAGGCAGCAGUGGGGAAUAUUGCACAAUGGGCGCAAGCCUGAUGCAGCGACGCCGCGUGCGGGAUGACGGCCUUCGGGUUGUAAACCGCUUUUGAUCGGGAGCAAGCCUUCGGGUGAGUGUACCUUUCGAAUAAGCACCGGCUAACUACGUGCCAGCAGCCGCGGUAAUACGUAGGGUGCAAGCGUUAUCCGGAAUUAUUGGGCGUAAAGGGCUCGUAGGCGGUUCGUCGCGUCCGGUGUGAAAGUCCAUCGCUUAACGGUGGAUCUGCGCCGGGUACGGGCGGGCUGGAGUGCGGUAGGGGAGACUGGAAUUCCCGGUGUAACGGUGGAAUGUGUAGAUAUCGG
RNAcentral lists this ribosomal RNA (535 nucleotides) under Bifidobacterium pseudocatenulatum. RNAcentral describes it as "bacterial SSU rRNA". It matches the Rfam family "Bacterial small subunit ribosomal RNA", at positions 153 to 700 of the family's 1533-position model. Lineage: Bacteria; Bacillati; Actinomycetota; Actinomycetes; Bifidobacteriales; Bifidobacteriaceae. The record is from RNAcentral.